RNAcentral lists this transfer RNA (22 nucleotides) under Elaeagnus mollis. RNAcentral describes it as "partial tRNA-Pro". The record is from RNAcentral. Lineage: Eukaryota; Viridiplantae; Streptophyta; Magnoliopsida; Rosales; Elaeagnaceae.
UAGGGAUGACAGGAUUGAACCC